AAAAAAAAUUACUCAUCUAAUAGGGAUAUCCCGACUACUACUGGAAACUAAAAAAAAACAACAAAAAAACUUGGGAUCCAAGAGUAACUUAAAAGACAAAAUGAAAUUUGUUCCGAUUGACACCAAUCAAAUAGUAGGGUCACAGGUUCCAAAUUUUCAUAAUGACUCAAAAACGCCUUAAAAACAAAUAAUUUUUGCGACAAAAUUAAAAUCUAAAAAUCUCUGCUAAAAUAAA
Molecule: long non-coding RNA, 235 nt
Filed under: Mytilus galloprovincialis (Mediterranean mussel)
Lineage: Eukaryota; Metazoa; Mollusca; Bivalvia; Mytilida; Mytilidae
Source: RNAcentral